Molecule: long non-coding RNA, 2008 nt
Filed under: Homo sapiens (human)
Lineage: Eukaryota; Metazoa; Chordata; Mammalia; Primates; Hominidae
Description: non-protein coding LINC02163:7
Source: RNAcentral
CAAGAAUAAAGCUGCGGACCCUAGUGUUUCCUGAGGCCUCACUAGAAGCAAAUGCUGGUGCCGUACUUCUUGUACAGCCUGCAAAACUGUGAGUGAAAUAAACCUCUCAUCUUUAUAAAUUUCCCAGCCUCAGCUAUUUCUUUAUAACAACAUAAAACAGAUUAACACAGAUGCACAAUUUUUAAAAAUUUUAUAAGAAAAAAUUUGUCUCUUUUUUCUUGUGUUAUCUGUGCCUUUGGUAUCAUAUCUAAGAAAACACUGACAAAUCUAAUGUAGUAAAUCUUUUGCCCUAUAUUUUCUAGUAAGUUUUUUUUUAGUUUUAGGUCUUACGUAUAUACUUUUGAUCUAUUUUGAGUUAAUUCUUGUACAUGGCUUUAGAUAAAGAUCUAUCUCCAUUCUUUUGUAUGAGCAUAUCUGAUUUUCCCAGCACUAUUUUUUGAAAAGACCGCCUUUUCCCUAUUGCGUGGUUGGCAACCUUGCAAAAGAUUAUUUGACCAUAUAUAUGAGGCUUUAUUUCUGAGCUUUCUAUUCUAUUCCGUCUGUCUAUAUGUCUGUCUCUAUGCAGUACCACACUGUAUUGAUUACUGUGGAUUUGUAGUGAGUUAUAAAAUCUGGAAGUAUGAGUUUUCCACACUUCUUUUUCAAAAUUGAUUUGGAUAUUUGGCAUCACUUGAGAUUCCACUUGAAUUUUAGGAUUUUUUUUCUAUUUCUACAAAAAACAUCAUUGAGAUUUGUAUAGAGAUUACAUUGAAUCUAUAGAUUGCUUUGAGUAGCACUGCUAUCUUACUAAUAUUACGUCUUCUAAUUCAUGAACAUAAAAUGUGUUUUCAUUUAUGUUUUCAUUUAUUUCUUUCAGCAAUGUUUUGUAGUUUUCAUUGUGCAAGUCUUUUACCUCUUUAAGUUGUCAAAUAUUUUACAGUUUUUGAUGUUAUUGUAAAUAAAAUUGCUUAAUAAUUUCUCUUUCAGAUUGUUCAUUGUCAGCAUAUAGAAAUGCAAUUGAUUUUCACUUGUUUGUUUUGCAUCCUACUAUUUUGCCGAAUUUAUUUAUUAGUUUUCAAGUUUUUUUGUGUGUGUGGACAUGUAAGUUUAUAUACUCUGUGAAUGGUGAUAAUUUUACUUCUUCCUUUGUAAUUUGUUUGCCUUUUAUAUGUUUUUCUCGUCUGAUUGCUCUGGCUAGAAUGUCCAGUGAUAACUAUGUUGACUAAAAAUGGUAAAAGUGGUUAUCCUUGCCUGGUUCUUCAUCUUGGGGGAAAAACUUUUAGUCUUUUACUGUUGUGAUGUUUACUGCAGGUUUUUAACAUAUGCCUUUAAUUAUGUUGAGAUAUUUCAGUCUAUUCUUAUUUUGUUGAGAAUUUUUAUCAUGAAAGGAUGUUGAAUUUUCUUGAAAGCUUUUUCUGUGUCAAUUGAAAUAAUUAUGUGUUUUUUUCUUUAUUCCAUUAAUAUUGUAUAUUACAUUGAUCAAUUUUUGUAUGUUGAAUUAUCCUUGCAUUCCAGGAAUAAAUUCUACUUGCUCAUUGUGUAUAAAACUUUCAAUAUACUGCUGAAUUUGAUUUUCUGUUUUUUUGGUUGAGAAAUUUUAGGUAAAUGCUCAUAAGGAAAAUUGAUCUGUAGUUUUCUUGUAGUAAUUUCAUCUGACUGGUAUUAAGAUAAUGUUGGCCUUAUAGAAUGAGUUUGGAAGUAUUACCUCCUAUUCAAUUUUUAGAAAAGUUUGAGAUGGACUGGUUUAAUUCUUUAAAUGUUUGGUAGAAUCAUCAGUGAAACUAUCACAUCUAGGACUUUGCCUGAAAAUCUUUGAUUGUUGAUUCAAUCUCCUUACCAAUUGCAGGUAUAUUCAGAUUUCCCAUUUCCUUGUAAUUUAGUCUUGGUAGAUAUUGCACUUCUAGAAAUUUUUUGUUUCAUCUAGGCUAUCUAAUUUGUUGGUGCACAAUUGUUCAUAGUACUUUUUAAAUAAUACUUUUUAUUCCUGUAGAAUCGGUAGAAAUAUCUCCACUUUCUUUUCUGAUGUUAU